This is a long non-coding RNA of Suricata suricatta (meerkat), 1522 nucleotides long. RefSeq lists it as uncharacterized. The transcript is spliced from 9 exons. The record is from RefSeq and is a predicted model, not a curated record. Lineage: Eukaryota; Metazoa; Chordata; Mammalia; Carnivora; Herpestidae.
GUCUUUACGAUAAAAACCCCCAAGUGGGCUCACUCUGGGCAGUGUGAUUCCAGAGAGCCUGCAGUGCACGAAAGGGUCUGCCACCCUACAUUGCUCUCUGUGACUUCCCAGGGACUGAGUCUUCACGGUCUCCUUUGGCGAAAAUACCACGAUGCCUGUUCAGAGAGGAAGGAAGAGAUCCCUAGAUGGAAGAGAUCAAAAGAAUCUUUGGUUUAUUUGUGGUACCUGGCUCAUUAAGAAGACCACUCGUCAUUUUAAAACCAAAUUGAGUUUAAAUACAUUUCCUUGACACAUCUGUUUUGUUAAAUGUAUCCCACGAAACCAACAUUAAAAGCCAAUGCCAUUAAGAGGGCAUAAGAUUCUAAAAUUCCAAGAAUUAUCAUGGGAGCUAUAUGACAUCUUUUUAAGAGUAAGGGAAAUCUUCAGAGCCAAAAUGGAUCUGGUCCAAUCCCUUGAUUUUACCGAUGAGGCCUAGACGCAAACUCAUCCCCAAAAAGACAUCUGGAGGCUGAAACACCAAACUGAUAUGUUGCAUCAAUGAUCGUGUUCAUGGCUAUUUCAAAAUGAGAUGACAAAGAGAAGUUUAAGAACACAUUUGGAGAGUAAAAUCUAUUGCUAUCUAAGGCUUUUAGUAAAUAAGUAAACACCCAGCCCUGAAAUUACGGUUCAGUGUGGGAUGAAGGAUGGAAAAAGGAAAGGGAAGGAAUUCUGUCUGACAUGUGCUGCAAAGGUCUGAAACUUGAACCUGAGACACUCAGCUUUCUUUGGAGAGAGAGACUCCCCAUUGCUAAUGCUGAGACCCAUGACCGGAGUUACAUUUACCAAAGAAGGUCUGCUCGCGGGGGUUUUCAAACGUGGAAUGGAACUGCCUUCCCUUUACCUCAUCCUCUUCAUUUCCUACUCUCCUCUCUUCCGAAAAUAAUUGGUCGUGUAGAAGAUUCGAAAUUGACACUAUUUUCCACAGUAAACCUGAAUGAAACCUUGGCUGUUUCUAACACUAACUUCCUGGGAAAAUGCCAACGAAAUGGAGAAGUUCUUCUGCCCAAAGAUACACUUGGCACUGAAUCGUGUUCUCGAAAGGAGAAUGCUUUGUCACAUCUCCUACACUUCUGCCAUGUGGGAGAGAACAGCCUUCUGAUUUAAACUGCCUUUGGGUAAAAUUACUCUAAGAGAGCACGCUGUACCCUCUAUGCCACUGGACUUGUGAGAGGCUCUAGCAUUGCAGCCUUAAGACCGUGGCAUCGCCAGCUGAGAUCAAAGCAAGGUGAUGGAGGCACCGACCAGUGAAGAAAAUGCCAGAGUGUGUUCCAUAACCAGCACACUACUGACAUGGGAGAGGCAGCCCUUAGAGAUGAAACAAAAAGAGAGGAGGAGGUGGUGCUCCCUACUUAUUAGUUGUGUGACCACAUGCCAGCUACUUAACCUCUCUGAGCCUAAAUUUCCUAACCUAUAAAAUGGCAAUAAUGACAGUACCUACUUCAUAAAAUGAUCAUGAGGAAUAAAAGAAUGAAUGUAAAACUUA